This 495-nucleotide ribosomal RNA is filed under the name uncultured bacterium. Its description in RNAcentral is "partial 16S ribosomal RNA". It matches the Rfam family "Bacterial small subunit ribosomal RNA", at positions 29 to 507 of the family's 1533-position model. The record is from RNAcentral.
AUGAACGCUGGCGGCGUGCCUCAUACAUGCCAGUCGAGCGAACAGACGAGGAGCUUGCUCCUCUGACGUUAGCGGCGGACGGGUGAGUAACACGUGGAUAACCUACCUAUAAGACUGGGAUAACUUCGGGAAACCGGAGCUAAUACCGGAUAAUAUAUUGAACCGCAUGGUUCAAUAGUGAAAGACGGUUUUGCUGUCACUUAUAGAUGGAUCCGCGCCGCAUUAGCUAGUUGGUAAGGUAACGGCUUACCAAGGCAACGAUGCGUAGCCGACCUGAGAGGGUGAUCGGCCACACUGGAACUGAGACACGGUCCAGACUCCUACGGGAGGCAGCAGUAGGGAAUCUUCCGCAAUGGGCGAAAGCCUGACGGAGCAACGCCGCGUGAGUGAUGAAGGUCUUCGGAUCGUAAAACUCUGUUAUUAGGGAAGAACAAAUGUGUAGUAACUAUGCACGUCUUGACGGUACCUAAUCAGAAAGCCACGGCUAACUACGUG